Molecule: ribosomal RNA, 433 nt
Filed under: uncultured bacterium
Lineage: Bacteria
Description: partial 16S ribosomal RNA
Rfam family: Bacterial small subunit ribosomal RNA
Source: RNAcentral
AACGAACGCUGGCGGCAUGCCUAACACAUGCAAGUCGAACGAGACCUUCGGGUCUAGUGGCUCACGGGUGCGUAACGCGUCGGAACCUUCCCUUAUGUUCGGAAUAACUCCCCUAAAGGGGUGCUAAUACCGGAUAAUGUCUUCGGACCAAAGAUUUAUCGCCUUUGUAUGGGCCCGCGUUGUAUUAGCUAGGUGGUAGGGUAAAAGCCUACCAAGGCGACGAUCCAUAGCUGGUCUGAGAGGAUGAUCAGCCACUCUGGGACUGAGACACGGCCGGGACUCCUACGGGAGGCAGCAGUGGCGAAUAUUGGAAAACGGGCGAAAGGCUGAUGCAGCAAUGCCGCGUGAGUGAUGAAGUUCUGAGGGUUGUAAAGCUCUUUUAUCCGGGAUGAUAAUGACAGUACCGGGAGAAUAAGCACCGGCUAACUCCGUG